CUGAUUUCCUGGACCCAUUACAGCUCCGUUCACACGUUCUGUUCAACAUUGUGUGAUCUGUGUAGAGUGCACACAGACAAUUCAAGUAGCUGGCUGCCAUCCUCCUGGUGGCUGCUGCCUUCCCCAGAAAUACUAUUUGAGGAUGAAGCAUCAUUUCAAGCAGAGAUUCUUGGGGAAAAUUGUAGCCAAUGUAAAGGUGACUGCAGUGCUUCCGUUACUGGCAGCACCUGUGGUCCUAGUCAAGCAGGGCUCACAAACAAUCAAGGUUCACAAAAUGGGAUUGUUUCCUUCUACACAGAGUGUUGCAUGUUCAGUCUCUGGCGUCUCCCAUUAAAGGCUGGCAGGGCUGGGAAAGAUAUCCCUGCCUCUGAAGAGCUGCUGCCAGGCUGAGUCGUUGAUAGUGAACUAGAGGGACCUGAUUCCAUAAAAAGCAGCUACAUGUCCAGCAUCCCUUUAGUAUUCUUUGCCUAGGAAACUCUAGUUGGUGCCUCGUUGUACAGCUUUCAGCAACCUACGUCUCUUAAAAAAAAAUUUAAAAGUG
Molecule: long non-coding RNA, 541 nt
Organism: Hemicordylus capensis (graceful crag lizard)
Lineage: Eukaryota; Metazoa; Chordata; Lepidosauria; Squamata; Cordylidae
Exons: 2
Source: RefSeq, a predicted model, not a curated record